UGGGGAAUCUUGCGCAAUGGACGAAAGUCUGACGCAGCGACGCCGCGUGAGUGAUGAAGGCCCUCGGGUUGUAAAGCUCUGUGGAGGGGGACGAAUAAGCAUUGGUUAAUAUCCAGUGUGAUGACGGUACCCUUUUAGCAAGCACCGGCUAACUCUGUGCCAGCAGCCGCGGUAAGACAGAGGGUGCAAACGUUGUUCGGAAUUACUGGGCGUAAAGCGCGUGUAGGCUGCUUCGCAAGUCGGAUGUGAAAGCCCUGGGCUCAACCCAGGAAGUGCAUUCGAAACUGCCGAGCUGGAGUCCUGGAGAGGAAGGCGGAAUUCUCGGUGUAGAGGUGAAAUUCGUAGAUAUCGAGAGGAACACCGGUGGCGAAGGCGGCCUUCUGGACAGUGACUGACGCUGAGACGCGAAAGCGUGGGGAGCAAACA
This 426-nucleotide ribosomal RNA is filed under the name uncultured Aetherobacter sp. RNAcentral describes it as "bacterial SSU rRNA". It matches the Rfam family "Bacterial small subunit ribosomal RNA", at positions 355 to 774 of the family's 1533-position model. The record is from RNAcentral. Lineage: Bacteria; Pseudomonadati; Myxococcota; Polyangiales; Polyangiaceae.